GUCGUCCGGUGCCUGGUCAUCAUCGGCUGUGGUACAUGUAGGGGGCGUCGACAUUCAGGAGCAAGUUGUAGCCACUGUUUUCCCCUUAUGUAAAACAUGACAUGUCAGUGGGUUAAAGUUAUGCUGUAGGUAGAUGUAGCUUUUAUACGUGUGUAAAACCACCUCCAAGUUUGUGUUUAUUUAUUCUUUUGCUGUGUAGGGCGAGGCCUGCUCUUUUCCUUUUAUUCCUUUGUCAGCUGGGGCGGGGAGAACACAGAGGGUAGCAUACUCUGCUCUGCCUCCAGCCUAGUCAGUGUUGCUGCAGUGAGGCCUGUACUUAGUCUGUGUGUGUAGUGACAUUAUUUGUUGUGUUGCAGUUUGUAGUGGAUUGUUGCCUGUGCGGGGUAUAUUUGAACUAAUUGUAGCACUCCUAGUAGUAUAUAGCUACCUGUGUGUAGUGAUGCUAAUUAUAUUCUUAGGGAUAGUAUGUAGCUAACUGCUGUGUGAAUGUGGCUAGGCCAGUUACAUCCUUGCUAGGGUAGGCUAUGAAAUUGUCCUCUGGAUGAUUCCAUCCUCAGCUGGCACCUCUUUAUCCCUCGCCCUUAUUGAAGUGAUUGUGCCCUCUUUUGGGGUGAUUAUAUUUAUUCUGUUUCUUUUCUUAUUUGGUAGCAAGCAUAGUAGCCUAUCUGCAGUGUGUGCACAUUGACAUAACGCUAUGUAUAUUGUAUGUGGAAAUAUUUAAGAACACUGGUUAUGUAACAACUCCUCCUCUACUUCAACUAAAGUAUUUAUAAAUAUCUAUAUAUUUCUGCUACAAACAAAUCAGACAUUAAAGUGCAGUAUUUUUGUA
This is a long non-coding RNA of Alosa sapidissima (American shad), 829 nucleotides long. RefSeq lists it as uncharacterized. Lineage: Eukaryota; Metazoa; Chordata; Actinopteri; Clupeiformes; Clupeidae. The record is from RefSeq and is a predicted model, not a curated record. The transcript has 2 exons.